This 502-nucleotide ribosomal RNA is filed under the name Staphylococcus aureus. RNAcentral describes it as "bacterial SSU rRNA". It matches the Rfam family "Bacterial small subunit ribosomal RNA", at positions 1 to 484 of the family's 1533-position model. Lineage: Bacteria; Bacillati; Bacillota; Bacilli; Caryophanales; Staphylococcaceae. The record is from RNAcentral.
UUUUAUGGAGAGUUUGAUCCUGGCUCAGGAUGAACGCUGGCGGCGUGCCUAAUACAUGCAAGUCGAGCGAACGGACGAGAAGCUUGCUUCUCUGAUGUUAGCGGCGGACGGGGGAGUAACACGUGGAUAACCUACCUAUAAGACUGGGAUAACUUCGGGAAACCGGAGCUAAUACCGGAUAAUAUUUUGAACCGCAUGGUUCAAAAGUGAAAGACGGUCUUGCUGUCACUUAUAGAUGGAUCCGCGCUGCAUUAGCUAGUUGGUAAGGUAACGGCUUACCAAGGCAACGAUGCAUAGCCGACCUGAGAGGGUGAUCGGCCACACUGGAACUGAGACACGGUCCAGACUCCUACGGGAGGCAGCAGUAGGGAAUCUUCCGCAAUGGGCGAAAGCCUGACGGAGCAACGCCGCGUGAGUGAUGAAGGUCUUCGGAUCGUAAAACUCUGUUAUUAGGGAAGAACAUAUGUGUAAGUAACUGUGCACAUCUUGACGGUACCUAAUC